Molecule: microRNA precursor, 123 nt
Organism: Pan troglodytes (chimpanzee)
Lineage: Eukaryota; Metazoa; Chordata; Mammalia; Primates; Hominidae
Rfam family: MIR7504 microRNA precursor family
Source: Rfam
AGUGCUGGGAUUACAGGCCUGAGCCAUUGUGCCUGGCUUUUUUUUUUUUUUUUUUUUUUAAAAAAAAAAAAAAAAAAAAAAAAAAAGCCAGGCACAAUGGCUCAGGCCUGUAAUCCCAGCACU